GACGAACGCUGGCGGCGUGCUUAACACAUGCAAGUCGAACGGAAAGGCCCUGCUUUUGUGGGGUGCUCUAGUGGCGAACGGGUGAGUAACACGUGAGUAACCUGCCCUUGACUUUGGGAUAACUUCAGGAAACUGGGGCUAAUACCGGAUAGGAGCUCCUGCUGCAUGGUGGGGGUUGGAAAGUUUCGGCGGUUGGGGAUGGACUCGCGGCUUAUCAGCUUGUUGGUGGGGUAGUGGCUUACCACGGCUUUGACGGGUAGGCGGCAUGAGAGGGUGGACGCGCACAAUGGGACUGAGAUACGGCCCAGACGCGUACGGGAGGCAGCAGUGGGGAAUAUUGCACAAUGGGCGGAAGCCUGAUGAAGCAACGCCGCGUGCGGGAUGAAGGCCUUCGGGUUGUAAACCGAGUUCGCCUGUGACGAAGCGUGAGUGACGGUAAUGGGUAAAGAAGCACCGGCUAACUACGUG
This 468-nucleotide ribosomal RNA is filed under the name uncultured bacterium. Its description in RNAcentral is "partial 16S ribosomal RNA". It matches the Rfam family "Bacterial small subunit ribosomal RNA", at positions 28 to 507 of the family's 1533-position model. The record is from RNAcentral.